RNAcentral lists this transfer RNA (84 nucleotides) under Candidatus Woesearchaeota archaeon. RNAcentral's name for it is "tRNA-Leu". It matches the Rfam family "tRNA". From Rfam's summary of the family: Transfer RNA (tRNA) molecules are approximately 80 nucleotides in length. Their secondary structure includes four short double-helical elements and three loops (D, anti-codon, and T loops). The record is from RNAcentral. Lineage: Archaea; Nanobdellati; Candidatus Woesearchaeota.
GCGGGGAUGCCGGAGUGGCCAAACGGGAUAGACUCAAGAUCUAUUGGCUUAGUGCCUACGGGGGUUCGAAACCUCCUCCCCGCA